GUUGCCCUUUGGGAAAGGUCAGGUGAUCAACGUCCUGAGCAGGGAGGAUCCUGAUUGGUGGAAAGGGGAGCUCAAUGGUUCAUUUGGUUUGUUUCCUGCCAACUAUGUCAAACUGACCACCGAUACGGACCAGCAGAGAGGACAACAUCUCCCAUAAUCCCUGUUAACAUUGUAACUCCCCUUCUGUGCUUCCCUGCCCAAUGGUUUGAUGGGAGUUGGAGUUUCUGCUGAACAGGAACCCUGAGGCUGAACCAAUCCGCUGCUCCUCUGCUAGAACAUUAGUCUGUGACGCGAGUCAAAGAUAUGCAAUGGAUUUAUUUAUUUUUCAUGUUGUAUUUAUUACCCUUCUCUGCCAGUUUCUAAAAAGUAUUUAUUUAUUGAUUGUUUAUUUUGAUGCAAUAAUAUGUAUUUUAGUAUUUUGAAUACCUGUUGAAUUGUAAAAAAAAAAAAAAUAUGUUGUGUUUAUUCUAGCACAUACACACACCUACACUCACAGAUGCAGUAUACAAAGGUAAACACACAACAGACACACAUACAGUCACUCAAACACAAACAAGUGCAUGCAAGCACACACACAUACAGUACUCAGAAACUCCCCCACAGAAACCUCUUGUCCAUGAUUGCAAAGUGUAUGUGUGUGUAUGUGUACAUGUAUAUGUCUUUGUGUGUUUUGGAAGGUUUUUUUUUUCUUUUUCAAAUUUUUGUUUUGUUUUGUAUUCAUGUGCCCAUGUUUGCUAGUAAGCAACCCUGUUGGAUCAUUGGGUGAAAUCGUAGCAGGUAGCACAUGACGACCAAUCAAACCUCUCAUGCUCUUCUCUGAAGAUGAGUCCAGCCAAUCAGCAGCACAUGUGCCCCAAUCCAACCUUCUGGAAUUCUCACGACAUCAUAAAGGGUCGCUUGGAUACGGUGCCACCCACAGAAGAACGACUCGGCCUAUGUCAUAAUUCCAACACGAUGAUUGAUGUGAACAGAAGCACAGCAGCCAGUGACUCAGACUGUGUUGGGCCUUCUGCCCUGGACAGACAGACAGACAGAGAGAGAGAGACAAUAAAGAGGUGCUGUUGGGCUUCGGGCCCUGGAGAGACAGAGAGCCAAUAAAGAGGUGCUGUUGUG
Clupea harengus (Atlantic herring) is the source of this 1113-nucleotide long non-coding RNA. RefSeq lists it as uncharacterized. The transcript is spliced from 3 exons. The record is from RefSeq and is a predicted model, not a curated record. Lineage: Eukaryota; Metazoa; Chordata; Actinopteri; Clupeiformes; Clupeidae.